CAGCUACACAUCAACUAUAUAAUUCCAACAACAAUAAAGGAUACCACAAAGAGUAUAUGUAUAAAGAAUGUCUGUCACAACAAACCCAAAGUUAAACCCAUAAAUCCAGCCCAUCAGGCCUCUAUGAAACCAUCUUUAAACAUCAACUGCUGCUCGCUCUCUUUCCGCCCUUUAACAGAGGAUUUUCUGGCAUCAAAUAUCCAGAAUGACGAGAGGUGCAGUGACAGGAUAAAAAUGAAACCAGAGAAAAGAAAGGCGCUCUUUAUUCCUCUAAAGCCCUCAGACUCAAUGAUAUCUGGCCUGACCUCUCUGACCCGUGGCUUAAGGGGACAAGAAGAGGGAGAGUGGACAGUGUUGAGCAGAUAGAGAGGGCAGUGUGCAACUGUGGGACCCAGAGAGAGAAGAAGAAAAAGGGGAAAGAAGGAGCAUGUGUGUGCCCCUGAGGUUUAAGUCCUUUGACUGUGACUCCUUUAAAUCAAAGUCCAUGCACAGCUGUGAUCUCUGAGAGAUUCUCGCUACCUAAAAAACAUCUGCUCCAUCUUUGCUCUCCAUAUUCCCU
Non-coding RNA from Xyrichtys novacula (pearly razorfish), 559 nucleotides. The record is from the annotation of a GenBank genome assembly. Lineage: Eukaryota; Metazoa; Chordata; Actinopteri; Labriformes; Labridae.